Molecule: long non-coding RNA, 1027 nt
Organism: Cyprinus carpio carpio
Lineage: Eukaryota; Metazoa; Chordata; Actinopteri; Cypriniformes; Cyprinidae
Source: Ensembl
CAGCCCAUAUAUGGGUUCAUUUGAAAGUUUAGAGUGUUUUCUUUACAAAGAAUACCAUUAAUUGGGGUUUUAUGAUUCAUAAAGUAGUAAAAUUAAGCUAAGAAAUAUAUUUCCCCCCCACACAAAUUUCCGUCUAACGAUUAGGAAUAUUUUUUCAUAAGAAUGUGUAUUUAAAAUAUUUUUCACAAAACAGUCAAGUCAUAUAUCACAAGAAAGCUCUCAUUCUCAGGAAUCUGACGAUGUAGAUCAUUUUAUUGUGUGACAAUCACAGAUCGAAUGAUCUUCAACAGAAUCGCGAUGUAAAAUUUCUCACCUCAUUGCAAAUUAUUAUUUAUCCAUCUUAGCACCGCUUCAGUCACCCGCAAACAGCCACACAUACCUAUAUACUCGAUAUAAUCUUUUAGAUUAGAAUCUCUUCUUUCAAACAAGACCAUUUUUACGUUUCUGCGUGCUUCCAUUGGUGAGAUAUAAAGCGUUAUGUCCAGACGCGCUCAAAGAGAAAGACGCAGUUCUUUGAGACAGAAGCGCUCUUCAUGUCAUAAGACAAGCCUAAGCGGCUUUCUUCUGAUAUAUCGAUCGGAUCUCUUUUGUGAACCACUAUUUGUCCCUUCAGCUGUCAGUCUGAGCUGUGUGCUCCACUCAGAGCUGCUGAAUUUGACACCUCUGCGUCAACAGCGGGGGGAUGGAGUGGACAGUGAUGACCACAUCCUCCUCAGCCGGUGAAGCACUGGCUGAUGGGAUACUGAGUCCUCAAGUGUCCGUAAACAAAGAUCACACGCGGAAUAACUCGCGUCGCGGUGAUUAUCAAAUGUAUAAUAAUCAUACUACAAGUUAUGGAUGACCACCGUCGCCGUGGAGAGGACAGGACGCGCAUCUGGUCGUGUACAAGCUUCGGGCAGCGGAUAAGCGCUGAUAAUGCGUCAAAACAACAGAAGGGACGCUGGAAUAUGAAAUAUUACAGAUGAUUGAGACAGCUGACAUGUGCUGGAAACAAAUACAAUUGUUUGCAGGAUGCUGGACCUCUCAG